Molecule: transfer RNA, 82 nt
Filed under: Photobacterium iliopiscarium
Lineage: Bacteria; Pseudomonadati; Pseudomonadota; Gammaproteobacteria; Vibrionales; Vibrionaceae
Description: tRNA-Leu
Rfam family: tRNA
About the family: Transfer RNA (tRNA) molecules are approximately 80 nucleotides in length. Their secondary structure includes four short double-helical elements and three loops (D, anti-codon, and T loops).
Source: RNAcentral
CGAGUGGUGAAAUUGGUAUACACGACGGAUUCAAAAUCCGUUUCCUUCGGGAGUGUCGGUUCAAGUCCGACCUCGGGCACCA